ACUCCACAUCUUCGCUCGCAUUAAUGUGUGCGCGCUGUAAUAACUUUUCUUGUUUUCUUACGGAUAACUUUUCUUACGGAUUAUGUCUCAAGACGACAACAAAGUUUCGUUUACGAAUUAUUCAUAUGAGAUCUCGGAUCUUCGGUACAGAAUUUAAGCGUGACGGAUAUGGGAUAAACACUUUCGUGGUGUAAUGCGAAUGCAUACGUAGAGGGCAUUGUUGUUUUUUUAGCGUUUGGAACUCAGGUAUUUGAAAAGGAUGAGUUGAUAAAUAAACAAGUUAAGCAAUACAAUUAUAACAUCAACUGUAUAAUUCCGUAGAAAUACCAUGUCUUGCAAUAUCGAUUGGCAUGAUACGCAAAAGUUACCAUGAAUACAUGCCACGAAUUAUACGAUGAAUUGCCAUCAUGACUUUAUACUAUAGAUAAAAAUUUUAGUUGGGACUAAAUGAUAAUCAGCCAAAAAUAUAAUUUGAAAGAUUUUCUACAUAAAACGUGACUGAAACAAGCUCUGGAAAAAUUAAAUGAAUCAUAUGAAAUUCUUUAGCGAAAGAAAGUUGCUACAUUUUAUUAUUUCGGUACAAUCAACGUCAAUUCAUAUAGGCAAUUUUCCUUAUUUAAGCCAUUUUUAUAAAAUUAGAUCAAACUUGACCUCCAAUUUAAUCAUUAUUUGUCUGUAAACAUAAUUCAGACUCGCAAACUUAGAUAUCGAACACACAACUAACUUCAUUUGAAUUAACUACAAGAAUAAAAAUGUGACUAGUGGAACAUGGACCGUUAUGUAUAUACAUACAAAUAUAUGCGAUUAAAAGUAACUAUACAAUAAUUACGUUUCUAGAUCGCACAAUCAUGUAUUUGCAAUAA
Bombus terrestris (buff-tailed bumblebee) is the source of this 863-nucleotide long non-coding RNA. RefSeq lists it as uncharacterized. Lineage: Eukaryota; Metazoa; Arthropoda; Insecta; Hymenoptera; Apidae. The record is from RefSeq and is a predicted model, not a curated record. The transcript is spliced from 2 exons.